GUGUCAGCCGCCGCGGUAAUACGGAGGGUACAAACGUUGUUCGGAAUCACUGGGCAUAAAGAGCACGUAGGCGGCUUACUCAGUCGGGUGUGAAAGCCCUCGGCUCAACCGAGGAAUUGCAUCCGAUACUGGUAAGCUUGAGGAUGGCAGGGGUGAGUGGAACUCCAGGUGGAACGGUGAAAUGUGUAGAUAUCUGGAGGAACACCGGUGGCGAAAGCGGCUCACUGGGCCAUCUCUGACGCUGAGGUGCGAAAGCUAGGGUAGCAAACGGGAUUAGAUACCCCGGUAGUCCUAGCCGUAAACGAUGGGCACUAGGCAGUGGAUUUGCCUGUGAAUUUCACUGCCGUAGCUAAUGUGUUAAGUGCCCCGCCUGGGGAGUACGCUCGCAAGGGUAAAACUCAAAGGAAUUGACGGGGGAUCACACAAGCGGUGGAGCAUGUGGUUUAAUUCGAAGCAACGCGAAGAACCUUACCUGGCCUUGACAUGCAUGGAUUAGCUCUGUGAAAGCAGAGUGACAGCUCUUCGGAGUCGGAACAUGUGCAGGUGUUGCAUGGCUGUCGUCAGUUCGUGUCGUGAGAUGUUGGGUUAAGUCCCGUAACGAGCGAAACCCUUGUCGUUAGUUGCCAGCGGGUAAUGCCGGGGACUCUAGCGAGACUGCCGUUGUCAAAACGGAGGAAGGUGGGGACGACGUCAAGUCAUCAUGGCCCUUAUGGCCAGGGCGACACACGUGCUACAAUGGUCUAUACAAAGGGUUCCGAGACCGCGAGGUUUAGGCAAUCCCAUAAAGUAGGCCCCAGUUCGGAUUGCAGGCUGCAAUUCGCCUGCAUGAAGCCGGAAUCGCUAGUAAUCGCGUAUCAGCCAUGACGCGGUGAAUAUGUUCCUGAUCCUUGUACACACCGCCCGUC
This 905-nucleotide ribosomal RNA is filed under the name uncultured bacterium. RNAcentral's name for it is "bacterial SSU rRNA". It matches the Rfam family "Bacterial small subunit ribosomal RNA", at positions 505 to 1398 of the family's 1533-position model. The record is from RNAcentral.